RNAcentral lists this long non-coding RNA (297 nucleotides) under Salvia miltiorrhiza (redroot sage). Its description in RNAcentral is "long non-coding RNA (SMIL_LNC005827)". The record is from RNAcentral. Lineage: Eukaryota; Viridiplantae; Streptophyta; Magnoliopsida; Lamiales; Lamiaceae.
UAUUCUCAAACAAAAAUCUCACAUUUGAUUCCUAUCAGUGCUGCCAGGAUCAGAAAAAGAUUCCCGACUUGGCGUGUAAUAGUUGUGUGAAUUGCUUCAACUAGUGAAGACAUAUACGGAUACAACAUACAAACAAACAACCAAUCGAGUAGUUUAUCCUCAUCUCGUGUGACUUAGGUAGUCUCUCAAAUAUUAUCGACGCCAUCUCCAAAUGUUGAAAGAGAAAAGGGGGCAAUUACCACGUUGAAUGUUCGACCACUUAGUUUAUCGACAUGCUCCAUCUCAUAGUCACCCUCC